This 617-nucleotide ribosomal RNA is filed under the name Leuconostoc sp. RNAcentral describes it as "bacterial SSU rRNA". It matches the Rfam family "Bacterial small subunit ribosomal RNA", at positions 73 to 676 of the family's 1533-position model. Lineage: Bacteria; Bacillati; Bacillota; Bacilli; Lactobacillales; Lactobacillaceae. The record is from RNAcentral.
GAGGUGCUUGCACCUUUCAAGCGAGUGGCGAACGGGUGAGUAACACGUGGAUAACCUGCCUCAAGGCUGGGGAUAACAUUUGGAAACAGAUGCUAAUACCGAAUAAAACUUAGUAUCGCAUGAUAUCAAGUUAAAAGGCGCUACGGCGUCACCUAGAGAUGGAUCCGCGGUGCAUUAGUUAGUUGGUGGGGUAAAGGCUUACCAAGACGAUGAUGCAUAGCCGAGUUGAGAGACUGAUCGGCCACAUUGGGACUGAGACACGGCCCAAACUCCUACGGGAGGCUGCAGUAGGGAAUCUUCCACAAUGGGCGCAAGCCUGAUGGAGCAACGCCGCGUGUGUGAUGAAGGCUUUCGGGUCGUAAAGCACUGUUGUAUGGGAAGAAAUGCUAAAAUAGGGAAUGAUUUUAGUUUGACGGUACCAUACCAGAAAGGGACGGCUAAAUACGUGCCAGCAGCCGCGGUAAUACGUAUGUCCCGAGCGUUAUCCGGAUUUAUUGGGCGUAAAGCGAGCGCAGACGGUUGAUUAAGUCUGAUGUGAAAGCCCGGAGCUCAACUCCGGAAUGGCAUUGGAAACUGGUUAACUUGAGUGUUGUAGAGGUAAGUGGAACUCCAUGGGU